This 497-nucleotide ribosomal RNA is filed under the name uncultured bacterium. RNAcentral describes it as "partial 16S ribosomal RNA". It matches the Rfam family "Bacterial small subunit ribosomal RNA", at positions 28 to 507 of the family's 1533-position model. The record is from RNAcentral.
GAUGAACGCUGGCGGCGUGCCUAAUACAUGCAAGUCGAGCGAACAGACGAGGAGCUUGCUCCUCUGACGUUAGCGGCGGACGGGUGAGUAACACGUGGAUAACCUACCUAUAAGACUGGGAUAACUUCGGGAAACCGGAGCUAAUACCGGAUAAUAUAUUGAACCGCAUGGUUCAAUAGUGAAAGACGGUUUUGCUGUCACUUAUAGAUGGAUCCGCGCCGCAUUAGCUAGUUGGUAAGGUAACGGCUUACCAAGGCAACGAUGCGUAGCCGACCUGAGUGGGUGGUCGCCCACACGGGAACGGAGACACGGUCCAGACUCCUGCGGGAGGCAGCAGUAGGGAAUCUUCCGCAGUGGGCGAAAGCCUGACGGAGCAACGCCGCGUGAGUGAUGAAGGUCUUCGGAUCGUAAAACUCUGUUAUUAGGGAAGAACAAAUGUGUAAGUAACUAUGCACGUCUUGACGGUACCUAAUCAGAAAGCCACGGCUAACUACGUG